This 466-nucleotide ribosomal RNA is filed under the name uncultured bacterium. RNAcentral describes it as "partial 16S ribosomal RNA". It matches the Rfam family "Bacterial small subunit ribosomal RNA", at positions 338 to 795 of the family's 1533-position model. The record is from RNAcentral.
CCUACGGGUGGCUGCAGUGAGGAAUAUUGGUCAAUGGCCGGAAGGCUGAACCAGCCAAGCCGCGUGAGGGAGGAAGGCGCAGAGCGUCGCAGACCUCUGUCAGCAGGGAAGAACGGUCACUGUGCUAAUCAGCAGUGAAUUGACGGUACCUGCAAAGGAAGCACCGGCUAACUCCGUGCCAGCAGCCGCGGUAAUACGGAGGGUGCGAGCGUUAAUCGGAAUUACUGGGCGUAAAGCGCUCGUAGGCGGUAUGUCAAGUCAAGGGUGAAAUCCCCGCGCUCAACGUGGGAACUGCCUUUGAAACUGGCAAACUGGAGUGUGUGAGAGGAUAGUGGAAUUCCAGGUGUAGGAGUGAAAUCCGUAGAUAUCUGGAGGAACAUUAGUGGCGAAGGCGACUAUCUGGCACAUAACUGACGCUGAGGAGCGAAAGCGUGGGUAGCAAACAGGAUUAGAUACCCUAGUAGUC